AACUUUAUUGAAAUGAUGAAAUAUUAAUGCAAACAUAGAGUCAAGCUCUGAGUACCGCUCAAAAAGACGUACAGGGACGAGAUCUUGCUUUCUUAACUUCUGAUUCAAUAAUU
This is a non-coding RNA of Hanseniaspora uvarum DSM 2768, 113 nucleotides long. NCBI's taxonomy places the organism in Eukaryota, Fungi, Ascomycota, Saccharomycetes, Saccharomycodales, Saccharomycodaceae. The record is from Rfam.